UCGGUGCCAGGCAAUGGAUUUCUGCCUGUCCCUCUCUUGAGGGCCGAACCGCCAUUUUGGCUGAUGAUUCCUACCUUUCG
RNAcentral lists this non-coding RNA (80 nucleotides) under Sphingomonas sp. Its description in RNAcentral is "Fluoride sequence". It matches the Rfam family "Fluoride riboswitch aptamer (crcB RNA motif)". Lineage: Bacteria; Pseudomonadati; Pseudomonadota; Alphaproteobacteria; Sphingomonadales; Sphingomonadaceae. The record is from RNAcentral.